UACGUAGGGUGCGAGCGUUAAUCGGAAUUACUGGGCGUAAAGCGUGCGCAGGCGGUUCUGCAAGUCAGAUGUGAAAACCCCGGGCUUAACCUGGGAACUGCGUUUGAAACUACGGAGCUAGAGUGCGGCAGAGGGGGGUGGAAUUCCACGUGUAGCAGUGAAAUGCGUAGAUAUGUGGAGGAACACCGAUGGCGAAGGCAGCCCCCUGGGCCGACACUGACGCUCAGGCACGAAAGCGUGGGGAGCAAACAGG
Molecule: ribosomal RNA, 253 nt
Filed under: uncultured bacterium
Lineage: Bacteria
Description: partial 16S ribosomal RNA
Rfam family: Bacterial small subunit ribosomal RNA
Source: RNAcentral